This is a long non-coding RNA of Mytilus trossulus (common blue mussel), 1269 nucleotides long. RefSeq lists it as uncharacterized. The transcript is spliced from 5 exons. The record is from RefSeq and is a predicted model, not a curated record. Lineage: Eukaryota; Metazoa; Mollusca; Bivalvia; Mytilida; Mytilidae.
UUUAAAUUCAAAUUAGUUUGAUCUUUACAUGGACAAAGACUUGCAUUAUUUCUUGAAAAUUUUUGAAGACAUGAAAAAGUUUAAAAUUUCAAGACAAGUUAAAGUUCUUGGAUUCUAGGAACUUUAAUAUAGUCAUCCAAAUUGGUAUUGGAUAGGAAAACCAGACAUUAUAGCCAUUAUAUAGAUUUUCAACAAUGCUAGACUCAGAGUUUAUAUACAGUCACAGAACAAAAAGAAUUUACAAGACUAUCCACAAUCUUCUCAUUUUGAUGAAUUGUUAAACCGCAGAAACUUGAAGAAUACCUUCCGAAAAUCUAGACUGUAUAGUAUAUACAACAAUAUAAAAGAAUGGGCCAGUUGUGUUCAUCUAUAAGGAACCCUAAAAUUGAGCAAUGACCAUGAAGAGUAAGCAACGUGUACAGUAAGAUAUCCAUCUUUGUAGUUACCAAAGAGUGGGGGUAAGAACCUGGUCUAUAAUUAUACAUGCGUUUUUACAGAGAAUAUAGGUAUACUGUAUUUUUAAUUUUUUUUGGUCCUGUUUGUAAGUUUGUCAUAAAGAAGUAGUAUGUGGUAUUAAUGUCAAUGGGAUAUGACACACAGAUGAAAAGAAGUUAAAUACCUUUAAGUAUGGAUGAAGAAAGACAGCCUUCCUCAUAACCAAAAGAAAGGACAGACAAAAAUAUACAAAACAAUACACAAACUAAAAAAUGUACAACACCAACCUAAUCAAAGACCAAGAUGAACUCAGGUGAUCCAGGAAGUCGGCACCAAAAGAAAUGACAGACAAAAGUAUACAAAACACUAAACUCAAACAACUUAAAAUGCACAACAUCAAGCCAACCAGAGAUGAGGGGAUGAACUUAGGUGACCGAGGACAAAAGUACUACUACUGGAUAGGUGUCUUACUACCAGUACAGGACAGAAGUUGGUAAGUAAUUGAUAUGUUAACAAAUCUACAAAUUGAUAAAGCUAAGGGUAUUUUUUUGUCAUUCAUUCUUUCUUUAAUUUUAAGUGUGACAAGAUAAAGAUAGCACAUAAUUUUCAAAUAUAGUUUUUAAAAAAUAGUAUUCUUUGUUUGUUAUUUUGAAAUAUCUUCAUGUUUGAAAUUUUUGAACUUCAAUUUAACUUGAAAGAAAUAUUCUCCAAAAUUUAUUAAAUUGAUAGACCUUUUUUCACAAAAAAUAUUGGUUAUUUUAACAAUCAUGUGAGUCAGGUUGAGAUAAUGAUGACUCAGUCUUACUCCAUGAAAACACUGGUAUCUUGCAUUAG